This 7462-nucleotide long non-coding RNA is filed under the name Taeniopygia guttata (zebra finch). Its description in RNAcentral is "lncRNA (ENSTGUG00000021877.1)". The record is from RNAcentral. Lineage: Eukaryota; Metazoa; Chordata; Aves; Passeriformes; Estrildidae.
UUAUUUCCUCGGUAGUCACAACCACUUGCAGUAAUUUGUAGUCCCCCAAGUAAACAAAAAAUAGUAGAAAAUAUUAUUCUAACAAUUUUUAACUACUGUAUAACUUAUUCCCCUCUUUCAGAAUUCAUUUGCUAUACUUUAUACUCCUCUACUAAGAUGUGUUUCAAAGUACUUCAUAGAAAGGCUAAACAAAACAACAUCCUAAACUUGUGCCAUUUAUUGUGACAAUCUGUCAACUUAUUGUGACAGGCGUAACAGAUUAGUAGCAAAGUCUGAGUAGCAAAGGCUGGCGGACUGACUUUUUAAUAAAUGAUACUCUUGCUUGGCAACGUUUUUAAGAGUUAUCAGAACUAGAAAGACCAUUUUCAAAAUAAUUAAAAACUCCUUAAAGCUGCAAUAUAAGUAGUGUUGCAGUCUUGGGGAAAGAGGCAAAUCAUAGCUUUAUCAUCCACACAAGGUUGCAGAGGAGACAUGAACUAACUUACAUGCAGGAAAUUUGGGAUGUAGAUUUCUUCCUGAUUCAGUACAGGUUGAUUGGUAGUUUGAGUCAGGGGUGGGCUGCAGAUGAUUCUACUGAGUCACUCUUAAAAAUCAGUUUCCCAGCUUCUCCUUCUGAAGGCAGUCUGUCAGGACUUGGCCAAGAAAUCAGAUCACUGUUCUCAUUUCCUAUACUGUGAGGUGUGGGUUUGGAGUCAGAGAGUCAUAGAAUAUCCUGAGUUGGAAGGGACACACCAGGAUCAUCAAAUCCAACAUCUGGCCUUGCACAGGACACCCCAAGAGUAACAGCAUGUGCUUGAGAGCACAGUCUAAACACUCCCAGUGGAGGUGUGGAUAGGCUGGGGGAAAAAAGCCAGUAUUAGAUACGUACUCCUUUGGCAAAGAAGAGGUACUUUAGCUAUCACUGCAUAGGUGAAGUGCUCAGACAGACAUAGGCCAUGCAAAAAAGGACUAUUUUGCUCAAAUGUAUGGAAACCACUAACCUGGAAACUUCUUGUUGGGAAACAGAUUUGCCAGUAAGAAGUUUCUGGAAACAAAAUUGACAGGCAGCCUCUGGCUGGCUCUGCUCAUGACAUCAUGCACCAUCAAAGGCCAAAUCCGCCAGAAAUUAGUCUAUAACCAUGAAGAUCUUAGCCAAAACUCAAAAUACUUCUAAAAAAGUCUGGAAAAGUGCAAACCAAAGUCAAAAACAUGCAGAGUGUAUUUGAAAGAUAUCAACAAUAUCCCAGACAACAAAUUUUCCAGAAUUCACUAGCCACAUACUUGAGUAGUGAGAUAGUGCACCAAUAAUAGCCAGAGACUGAAGCAAGGAUGUCCAAACAGUACUGGAGGUAAACUCACAGAUCUGUUUUUUAUUUUCCUGAAAAAAAAAAAGCAAUGAAACAGAUUAAAGAUUAGUACAGUUCAUAACAAAAAGCCAUGAUUAUAAAUUGAAAGUGCACAAUACUUCUUAAAAUCCUAUUUUUCAGUAAACGCUGGAUUUAUACAUUGUGACAAUCAUUUAAUCAGAUGACAGCCAGAUGAAGAUGGAUCAAUUAGUCAUACAGAGGCUGUACUGGAACCAGGAAAUAUGAAAAGACUUAAGAAAAAAGAGAUAGAAAUAAAAGCUGCAUAUAAAGAUAGUCAAACAAUUAUGUCUGUUUUCAUUCAGAAGAAGGAAGUGUGAGGAUAGAGGAAACAUUUUAAUCUUGUGCUGUGUAAACAUCAAACAAGAUACUUCAAGAGAAGAAAAUUACUUGCAAAAAUUCAGUGAAAUUCCACAAUUCAAGAAAAUGGCCUUUCAAGUAUCCUUUUCUAAGCUUAAACUUAAAAUAAAUACAACAGCAAGAAGUCAUAAAAUGCUAUUAAAAGAUGCAACCAAAGGGUUUAAGGUUCUCUGCAUGCUCUUUUCUUUUUUUCCUGGACCCCAAAGCCAGACAAAAGCCCAGCUCAGGCAGACAAAGAGAAAGGGAAAAUAAUUGUCUGACUUAAUGUACUUUCCACAUUCAGUAGAGAACACCAAAAGUUGUUGGGUGUUUUUCUGUAGAUGAAGACAAGUGUUGAUAUUUCUAAUGAUGCACAGGGUACCACUGGCUCUUAUAUUCAUGCCCCAGGAAGGCUGACAGCACCCUCAGUACUUCCACCUUGCACAAAGCUCUUCUCAGGUCACAGGAACAGCUGUCAUUAAAAUUUUGAGUUUUUCUCAUUAAUAUGACAGGGAGUCUGGAGUCAAGAGUCCAGAAGAGAAAAUGAGAAAAAUAAUGCAUUUUUGAGCUCUCUAAAAUGUGCUAAAAUAAAACAAAUAUUCCUAACAUUCCCAUAAGAUUUUAAUUCAGAAGGAGUGGCUUAUCUAGAAUUGUCUCCACUCUAACUCAUCUCUUAGGAAAACUAACUCUCUGUCUUGACUUUAAAGGAAGUACCUAAAGGACAUUUAGAAUAUAUUUCAUUUUUAUUCCUGUGUAUUAAGCCACUCACAAACUCUGUAUAUACAGAAAUGCCAUUCUAUAAGAUAGUUCACAAAGUCUGCAGAAAUAAAAUAAUUCACCAGUAAAUCUGACAGACUUCAUCAGAAAGUUUGUAAGUCUAUUUCACUAUGUCUGAUAUAACCUUGUACAUGCAAAUGCUCACUUAUAUGCCAUCCAGUGAAAAUUCAAAGAAGCAGUUGUUUCACAAAAAAAAAAAAAAAAAAAGUUAUACUGCUGUUCAAAUGUCCAUUUACUAUUAUGAAGUUUUCUGAUUCUGUUCUAUAUGCUACAUUUUUCACAAGACUUACCCUGGAGCCAUAAAACCUGCAAGGCUGCCAAAGGAGUUUCCACUUCAGCAGGUCUUCAGAAGAAACCUAAAUGUUGCUUGUACGCAUAGUAAUGUAUAGAGUUAGAAUCAGACAGAACAUAUUGGCCAAAUUUUGUCCAUGCUUUCUUACUUUCACAUCUGGAAGAUAUGAUGCUGUGGGGUUUAACUCAAGGCAUGAAUGCUGUUUGAGUGUUUUGAGAAGAUGGCUGAAAAAUUACUUACCCCAUCCUGAUUUGUCUCUCUUCUCCUGGAAAAAAGAUAAUUUCUUCAGCUCUACGAUAUUUCCAGUGUGUAUACAUGUAUGAAAAUAGCAUAUUUCUUGAGAAAUUCUAAUAAUCAUGAAUGCAAUUUGGAUUUAAAGUUCUCUUUAGAAAAAAGACUGAAAAUUCGAUUUGUUUAGUCCCCUACAAAAAACAGCCUACAGAUAUUAGCAAAGUUUAAUCUUGAGAGAUAUCACUUUGGAUCCUAUUAUGAAAAAGAAAAUAUAACCAGUUGGGUUAUUAUUACUCUGCUUAUUCUCAAUUUCACUCUGCAUCUUCAGUUUCAUAGAAUGGUUUGUGCUUGAAGAUCACCUACUUCCAAUGCCCCUGACAUGGGCAGGAAUGGCAUUCACUAGAUCAGGUUGUUAAGGGCCCCAUCUAACCUGGCCUUAACCACUUUGAGGGAUGGCAUAUACACAGCUUCUUUGGGCAACCUGUUACAGUGCCUCGCCACCCUCUGAGUAAAGAAUUUCCCCAUAAUAUCUAAAUUAAACAGCCUUCUCUCAGUUAAAACCAUUGGCCCUUGUCCUGUUACUAUCUGCUCACAUAAAAAAAGUCCCUCUCCCUCUUUUUAUGCACAUAGAGAAUCUGAGAGUUGCACAGCAAUUAAAGCUGUCCUUCUGAUACAUCUAUGUACUUCAAUAUAAAUAAAAGGAAAGAAAACUGCCUGAGCAGAUGGAGCAAAAGUACAUUCAGAAGUGAAUGAGCCAUAGCAUGGAUAAAUUUAAGUUAAAGUAAGAAAGACCAUGGAAAAACAGGGAAGAGAGACUGUGCAGGAAAGUUCACCAUUGCAGAGACAUUUACUUCCCUGUCCUUUUUAGUCAACCUGAAAGCAUGGCAGGGCUGACACAAAGUUGUUCUGACAAUUUUCUAGAUUCUCCUGUUAGAUCACUGCUAAGUGGUACUGGCAAUGUCAUAUUUCAGGAUCUGGAAGCAGAGCAGCACACAACUAGACUCAAGGCAUGCAGCACAAAGCUUAAGGUAAAAGGAAACUGAACCAGUUUGCACCUCCACCAAAUACUAUCAAGUGCCAAUAGCUAGUUGCUUGGCUGAGGACUGGGAGUCUGGGCACAAGGACAAACCAGUGGGGCUGAGCUGAUGCAUGGCCCACAAGUGAUGGGGAAGCCCUGGCACCCCAACACCACAAUCUUAGGCUAAUGGCUGUGCAAUGCCAGAGCUGGACAUCAGUGUAGACAGACAAGAACUGGGAAGAAGGCUGGAUUGCAAUGCCCUAACGGCCCUGACAUUAACUUCACAAGAUUCAUACUCUGCCCAUAUUGCCCUUUCUGAUCAAAUAUCUGAGAUGUUCAGAGAACCUGCAGAACAAAUGGAAAAGGUGCUAAAAGGAGAAAAGGAUUAAUAAAGAGGAGAAGAAAGAGCAGAACAAAAAUGCCAGCACUAUGGCUCUUAGCCAUUUGGUAGAGAUGUUACUAAUCAUUGAUAAAAUUUAUUAUUUAUGAGCUUCAGUUAUGAUGGAACUGGAACUGAUCAUCAUACUCCUUAAUUGGUGACAACAAGGCAUUCUUAUAAGAAACUAUCUCUGGCAGUUGUGGUUACAACACAGAUAAUGUACUACAUACUACUUCAACACGUCUGCUUAGUGCUGUGCAGGAGAUGAGAUCACUAUUCACCUGUUUGGCCUGUGGGACAUGGUAGGGGUAUUCUGUGACAGCAAUUUGUUCUUUGGCAAUCUUCAUUGUGCUGCUGGCUGCUUCCUGCACAAGGCUGUUUUCUGACUGUACACUGUCUUCCAACACUGCUCUGUGGCAAUCAAUAGGCCUGUGCUAAAAGACAGCAAUAGUGCAAUUAACUUCUGACAAUUCUGACAUGCUAAAACAAGGAUUAUUAAUAUUCCUCAGGAUAAUCACUCUAACCUAGUUUAGCCAAUCAGCCCUGUAAAUCUGGCAGUAAAUAGCAAACCUUACGUAAAGCAAUAGAAAAUAUGGAAUUAAAAUAAAAUAAAUUGGUGGUAUUUAAUCAUACUUUGGAACACUGAAAUUCUUGCAUUAAUUUUAAAGUGGGCAAUGGCACCUAGUGUGUAAGGAUGAUGGCGUAACAAAUCUCUCACUCUCUGAAACUGAGAUGCCUGCACAAAAGGCUGUGCUGUGCCAUUAAACAACAUGAGGUUCUGUUUUGUGGCUGAACUCUUUAGCUCACAUUUUAUUUUUUCCCCUUCUUUUGUUUUCCUUUUUUUUUUUUAUUUUAACUUGGGAGUAUUUAAUCCAAUUGUUUACUAUGACAUAAUUCAUAGCAAAAGUCAAAGAAUCCUACUGAGUUAUCUCUGCAUUAAGUUACUAUGAGAAAUGUAGAAAUUUCCUUUUUCCUUCUUGAAAAAAUGAACAAUAUAAAGGGAUUGAUAAAAUCUGUUUCCACUCAUCAAUGCCUCAGCCUAAAAUUACAGGUUUCUUCUGUAAUGAUCUUGGUAAUGUGGUUUGGAGCACAGGUUGUUGUCAUGACGGAACAUCUAUAGCUACAGGUAAAGCAGUAGAGGUUGCCUGUACAUGUUACCUGAACACAGCUCAAUCACUAGCUUGUGAUGAUCCUCUGUAUUUAAUCAUCUGUGUGAUUCCUGUAGCAAGUGAAGCAGGAGGUCUGGAAAUUACCUGCCACAAAAGAAAAAGAGCAAAAAAAGAUGAACAGUUCAAUACAAGUUUCAUAAUGACUACGUAUCUUGAGAUUCAGAAGGAUGCUGCCAGGUCUGUGCAAAAGAAUGACAAAUGAAUGGUAUUUAACAUUUUGCUUGAACAGUUUUCCCAUCCAGAAAACUAUCUGAAAUACAAUAAUGAGAAAAGCAGAACUGUAAAGCAUUUUAUAAGGCUGAUUAUCUUUCUAGGACAUACAAUCUGAUAAAUGCUUUGUUUAUCCAGAGUAAAUUCAGUAGACAAAAAGAUUAAUUGAACCUCUUUUAUGCUACUUGUACAUCCUCUCAUAGAGAAAGUAACUUACUUUUUUUUUUUCUUACUUACUCUUGCACAAGAACCUGCAAUACACCAGCAAGAGCAAAAUUACUUUACUAAAUUUAGUAGUUCAUAAAUCAUAUGGGACACCAAUCCAUCCAGUGGUUUGUUGUUUGGGGUUUUUUUCCUUCUUUCAUAUAUCCAAAUAAAAUAGGCGUGCAUGCAGCAGAUGUACAGUAUUUGCUUUUGUGUUUCUCCUCUCCCAGGGUACAAGAGGCAUCUGUCAGCUUACUCGUGCUCUCACCCCUACUCUCUCUCCCUCUCUCCCCAUAAACAUAGUGCAUGUGGGUGAGCAUACACAUACAUGUGCAUGUAUGUACAUUCAUUUUUGACUCUUCAGUUAAUAGACAAGAAACUGCUAUGACUUCAAGGCACAAAGCCUUCUGCUUUGGAGGAGCUGUGUGACCUGCCUCAUGUAAUUUGCUGCGGAUUAAAUUUACCAUCUCACCUACACUAACAAGGUGAAUGAUCUUUUAAAAAUUAUGCUCUGCAUGUCUUUUCCCCUAUGCACUUGUUCAUCUCAAUGCCUUGGACAGCAGCUUGUCAUUUAGUUGUGACUUCUGUGCAUAACACACUGAAUGAGUAUCUGAUCUCUAAUCACUACAGGUUUUUUUAAAGAUAAAUGGUAUUAUUGUGUUGCCUUUAUAAAGGGCAACCAGGGACCUGGUUCAGGUGGCAGCACGGCAGCCUGGUCUUGCCCAGGCCACUCGGGCUAAUCAACACACGCAGAUACCAAUGUGGCAGACAGUCGAAAAGCCUUUAUUAUCUCAUCUCAUGGGUUUAAAUAGUCUUGGGGGUCUUUGCUACGUCAGAGGGGGGUUGGGGGGUCUCAGGGGUUAGUCGGGAGUGGAAAUUUACCGGGGCAGGUGUGGCUACACGCUUCUGGGGCUUCAGGGGUUAAUAGCUAACGUGGGGAAGGGAGAAGGGGAGGGGUCUAUCUUUCCGUGACAUCCCGUGAUUUUCCGCUUCGCCUGUCCCUUACCUACCACAUCUCCCCCCUCCUUAUCACAUACAAAAUGAGGUAGUCAUAGAUAUAGGCACUGGAGUGAGGCAAAAAGUUGUGACUUGUUAAGGAAAGGGUGGUUCGGUAAAUCUGGGUAAGUUUUUCAAGGCAGGUGUUGAAGGCUUUAGCUACUGACCGUGUUUGCAGUUUUUGGUUUACAGCAUUUGUUGGUGGCCUAUGAACAGAAUGUUUGCCCUUUCUAGACGGGCCUGAAAAAAUGAGACUAGUUUGUUCAGCAGGCAUGGUCCUAUGGUAAUAGCUAAAAGCAGUAUUGCCAGUGGACCUACCAGGGUGGAAAUUAAAGUGGUGAGCCAAGGUGAUUGAUUGAACCAGGAUUCAAACCAGCUCUGCUGGGUCUCCCUGUCUCUCUUUCUCUGAGCCAGUCUGUCUCGGAGUUCCGCCAUGGAGUCUUUAACGACUCCCGUAUGAUCUGCAUAAAAGCAGCACUCCUCUUUCAAGGCUGCACACAGUCC